AAAGUUUUAGUAUAAAAAUUUAAUAUAGCUUAUUGUCAAUAAGCAGAUUAAAACUUUAU
This 59-nucleotide transfer RNA is filed under the name Macropostrongyloides yamagutii. Its description in RNAcentral is "tRNA-Asp". The record is from RNAcentral. Lineage: Eukaryota; Metazoa; Nematoda; Chromadorea; Rhabditida; Strongylidae.